AACUGGGCCUGAUUGAGAUUAGAACCCAGAAAUAUCAGAACCCUCAAUUUGAACAGAAAUGUGAUCUUUUAUGUUUAGGAUAGUCAAGCGUCUACCAAAGUGCCUGUCCUAUCUCUGGAAGAAGUCUGCAUUUUGUGAUAAAAGUAGAAAACUCAAUCAACCUGUCAUCAGUUACGUAACUUAAAAGUUUCUCCAAAAGAAUCCUUUUCUACUUGGGAAGCACAAACAGCCAAAAGCAGCACUGGGGUUUUGACUGUCAAGGAGAUUAUUUGGACAUUAUGAAAAGGCAAAGAGAGAAACACUUCUGUAACUAUAACAAGACUAAAAAAGAAAAGCAAGAUGCAUUUUUAGAAGAAAUAAGUGGAUGACUCCUUGGACUGCAAGUGAGACUCAGCACAGGCUCAACAAGGAAAGAUGGUUGCUAAAUUACGAAUAAAAAGAGAGAGAUUUGUGGUUGCUUCAGAGAGAAAGUGGGAAGAACAGAAAGAAAAGGGGCAAAAGAAAAAAGCCCACAAGUCUGGGCCCUUCAUGGCGGACAGGCCAGUGAGCGGAAAUCGAGGUGGCAAACACACACGUCAGCGAGGGGAGCUAGAGGAUGAGGAAAACAACUGACAUUUAAAUAACGAACAUAAUAAGUAAUUUCAAUGUCCAGGUGAGUGAACCACAGAAUUACCUGUGUUUUGUCAAUCUGGUCAGAGCUAAGUUUCUAUAGUGAGUAACCACGAUAAUAAAUGCUCUCUCCUAUCCCUGAGCUGUCUAUUUAGAAAGAAUGCUUCAAAACCCUAUCAAGUUAAAUUGCAGGAGAGGAAGCAACUGAGUUCUUCAUUUGUUCCCUGACUUGCUUAUUAUUCAACAAGUAUGGAUUUGGUGUCCAUUGAGGCUGCUCUUUGCUUUGUGACCUUGAGUCAUUUACUGUCUCUGGGCCUUACUUUUAUCAUCUGUAAAAUGAGGGGCUGGAUCAGAUGAUCCUUGAGGUGCCUUCCUGCUCUGGGAUUUUUUUUGCUCUAAAGCUUUAUAGUAAAAAAUUAUUGUAAGUUAAAUGUUUUCUAACUCUGGCAGUUAAAAAAUGUUUAGUAUCCAUUCUAAACAUUUAAAAAUAGUCACCUGAAAAUAAUUCACAGAUACAAGAAAAAGUUCUGAGAAGAUCUUUUUUAAAAAAUUGGCACAUUAUGCUAUUAUGAAAUCCCUAUUUAGUGCUUUUAUAUUUAAAGUUUAAUUGGAACGGAAUCUUAAAUUUUCCAGAUUCUCCUUAUACAAGUUUCUUCUAGCAUGUAAAUCUCAUAGGCCACUUUUAACUUCAACAUCCAAGUGUCCACUCAUUUUAUGCCUGCACUCACAUUGCAUCCACUUUACAACCUGUUUCCCUUCUUUAUCCAACAAAUCCUGCCAGCUAUUCCUUUCUGAGUAAGCUAUCAUCCUAAUUCCUUGUAUCAAUCACUAGGUCCUGAGAUUUUAGAAACAAACUA
This 1466-nucleotide long non-coding RNA is filed under the name Homo sapiens (human). Its description in RNAcentral is "HSALNT0313869". The record is from RNAcentral. Lineage: Eukaryota; Metazoa; Chordata; Mammalia; Primates; Hominidae.